Entelurus aequoreus (snake pipefish) is the source of this 694-nucleotide long non-coding RNA. RefSeq lists it as uncharacterized. NCBI's taxonomy places the organism in Eukaryota, Metazoa, Chordata, Actinopteri, Syngnathiformes, Syngnathidae. The record is from RefSeq and is a predicted model, not a curated record. The transcript is spliced from 4 exons.
UUACAGAGUCCACCACAUGCCGCCAUCAGAGCUGGUACCACUUCUUGUCUUUGUACUUCACCAUCAUCUGAGGGGAACAACAAAAACCAAGUCGGGGCUGCCUCUACUGCACCUGUGACGUUUGCCGCCUGCCGUGCAAUGCCAGUGCGCACUGGGCAUCAAAAGCGCAGCUAGAAGCAAAACAAUGUCACAAAAAAGGACAUAUCCUUCAGGUGCAGAAAAAAGGAAGAAGAAGAAAGUGGAAGAGGAGAAAAAAUGCCAUGAUAAAGGUAUGUUUGCAUGACUUGGUAAUAAAAAGUUUAUCAAAGAGAUUUGUAGCUGUAAUUAGCUUUAGCUAGGUGACGUUAGCUAGCUAGCGCGGUGCUAGCAAUAUGUUUUUAGCAUCAGGUUACUCUUGAGAUAUGUUGUUUGCACAAAUUGUUUGCAGCAGAGCACGGUAAUUUAUGUGAGUAAAAUAAACAUUAUUUUUUACAUCAACUCAUAAGUUAUGUGAAACUUCCCCAGGAGCAUUGUUAAAAUACUUUGGAGGCACAGAAUCAGCCCAGAGCCAGUCCACAUCCUCAGGCUCAACUGUGAGUGAUGAAUCAGUGCUUUCUCACACACCUCCAUCCUCUGUGCCCACUGUCCCCUCCAUGUCUGAAACCACAGCUGAUUUAUCUACAACUUCCACCACAAGGUCCCCUUCACACCAUGG